Molecule: ribosomal RNA, 449 nt
Filed under: uncultured bacterium
Lineage: Bacteria
Description: partial 16S ribosomal RNA
Rfam family: Bacterial small subunit ribosomal RNA
Source: RNAcentral
GUCGAGAAUCUUUCACAAUGGGGGCAACCCUGAUGGAGCGACGCCGCGUGGAGGAUAAGGUCUUCGGAUUGUAAACUCCUGUCAUGCGUGAACAAGGUUGCUUGGUUAAUACCUGGGCAAAUUGAUGGUAACGCAAGAGGAAGAGACGGCUAACUCUGUGCCAGCAGCCGCGGUAAUACAGAGGUCUCAAGCGUUGUUCGGAAUCACUGGGCGUAAAGGGUGCGUAGGUGGCGUGGUAAGUCAGAUGUGAAAGCCCGGGGCUCAACCUCGGAACUGCAUCCGAUACUGCCAGGCUAGAGUACUGGAGAGGUGACUAGAAUUCUCGGUGUAGCAGUGAAAUGCGUAGAUAUCGAGAGGAAUACCAAAGGCGUAGGCAGGUCACUGGACAGUUACUGACACUGAGGCACGAAGGCCAGGGGAGCGAACGGGAUUAGAUACCCGUGUAGUCC